This 459-nucleotide ribosomal RNA is filed under the name uncultured bacterium. RNAcentral describes it as "partial 16S ribosomal RNA". It matches the Rfam family "Bacterial small subunit ribosomal RNA", at positions 339 to 795 of the family's 1533-position model. The record is from RNAcentral.
CUACGGGGUGCUCCAGUGAGGAAUAUUGGUCAAUGGACGGAAGUCUGAACCAGCCAAAUCGCGUGAAGGAAGACUGCCCUAUGGGUUGUAAACUUCUUUUAUAUGGGAAUAAAGUGCGCUACGUGUAGCGUUUUGUAUGUACCAUAUGAAUAAGGACCGGCUAACUCCGUGCCAGCAGCCGCGGUAAUACGGAGGGUCCGAGCGUUAUCCGGAUUUAUUGGGUUUAAAGGGUGCGUAGGCGGGAUAUCAAGUCAGCGGUGAAAUCUUCUAGCUCAACUAGAAAACUGCCGUUGAAACUGAUAUUCUUGAGUGUAAACGAGGUAAGCGGAAUGUGUCAUGUAGCGGUGAAAUGCUUAGAGAUGACACAGAACACCGAUUGCGAAGGCAGCUUACUAGGAUACAACUGACGCUGAGGCACGAAAGCGUGGGUAUCGAACAGGAUUAGAUACCCCCGUAGUC